This 331-nucleotide unclassified non-coding RNA is filed under the name soil metagenome. RNAcentral's name for it is "partial contains 5.8S ribosomal RNA, internal transcribed spacer 2, and large subunit ribosomal RNA". The stretch from base 1 to 120 matches the Rfam family "5.8S ribosomal RNA", at positions 35 to 154 of the family's 154-position model. The record is from RNAcentral.
GAUGAAGAACGCAGCGAAAUGCGAUAAGUAAUGUGAAUUGCAGAAUUCAGUGAAUCAUCGAAUCUUUGAACGCACAUUGGGCCCCCUGGUAUUCCGGGGGGCAUGCCUGUUCGAGCGUCAUUUCACCACUCAAGCCUCGCUUGGUAUUGGGCAACGCGGUCCGCCGCGUGCCUCAAAUCGACCGGCUGGGUCUUCUGUCCCCUAAGCGUUGUGGAAACUAUUCGCUAAAGGGUGUUCGGGAGGCUACGCCGUAAAACAACCCCAUUUCUAAGGUUGACCUCGGAUCAGGUAGGGAUACCCGCUGAACUUAAGCAUAUCAAUAAGCGGAGGA